This 1228-nucleotide long non-coding RNA is filed under the name Lonchura striata (white-rumped munia). Its description in RNAcentral is "domestica (Bengalese finch) lncRNA (ENSLSDG00000001813.1)". Lineage: Eukaryota; Metazoa; Chordata; Aves; Passeriformes; Estrildidae. The record is from RNAcentral.
GAUUAAGUAGCCCUGUUAAGUUUUUACCUCUCUGAUUGGAGCUUAUUUUAACCUCAAUUAAGCCAUCAGCCUGGGUUUCUGAAGGCAGAGCAAUAGCAGAGCCAUUAUCAUUCUCCCCACCUUUUGUAUGAAAAUGAUGUUGAGGAUAGGUUGCUUUGGGGAUUGCUCUGUGGCAGGUAACCAACGCCGAGAAUCGGGAGGAUAAAUGGUGCCAGACUCCCAGAGGUGCCGUGGCACUGUGUAAUUAUUGUUCCAGACAGCUGAAAGCAGCAGGGUUUCUGGUUCCCCUGCUUAGUUUCAGUCUGCCAUGAUUGCUGGCACAGAAAGAUGCUGAUUGUAAGUAAACAUCAAUUAUGCCCUGCUACCCCACUGCUAACAUCUCUGGGCUUGCAAGAAACAGAAGCACAGUGCUGUGCUUGGCUCCUGCUACCAAAACCCACACCUAUAUGGAUUUCAGCUUCCAGGUUUUUGUCUUGCUUGGUCAAGGGACAUUGCUCCUAAAUUCCAUCCUCAUGAAUAACGCAGAAAAGGUUAUGAGAGUUAAACAAAGCACCAGUCCUUCCAAGAGCUCCAAAUGCCAGCAUGGCUGGAAGAAGCUGAUGGAGGGAGGAGGAUGGAAGGGGCAGAGGAGGGGGAAGUUCUCAGCCAGAACCCAGGAGCCAGAGUUGUUCCUCAGGAGCUCAGGUAGGAAACUUACUGUCCUUGAAACUGCUUUGCCAUUAAUUUAGAGAGGUCACAAAAUCACAAAACCCACGUGGCUGAUGCUGCUCCCCUGGGGCUUGGCCUCCAUCACAGCUGCCCAGGCAUCUCCACACACACAGAGCAUCCUCACUGCUGGAAUCUCACUGCCGGGCUGGGAAUGGCACCUGCAUCCUCUAAGCACCUUUGGCUUCCACAUCAGUUUGGCUAAAUAAUGAAGACACGCCACAGUUUCUGUGUUUUUCAAACAGAUAACAUGUCGCUGUCAAGGCAGGAUGGGAAUGAAGGAACUCCAGUCAGAAGGCUAAAUGAAGUGAACUCCAACUCAACUGAUUUAUUUCAAAAAUAAUAGAUGACAUUACAAAGUCACAAAGACAUCGCUGAGUUUAACAGAUGCAAAACUCAAAGCACUGAUCCAUUUUGAAGAUAAAAAUGUUAAUAAUGUAGUGUAUGUGAUAAAUAUAAAUUUUCUCUCCCAAAGCAAUGACAUUUCCUGAAUAAAAGUUGCUUGGACUUUACUUUCUAUCCA